Molecule: ribosomal RNA, 540 nt
Filed under: Micrococcus sp. VPTD2012
Lineage: Bacteria; Bacillati; Actinomycetota; Actinomycetes; Micrococcales; Micrococcaceae
Also listed under: 1 other name
Description: bacterial SSU rRNA
Rfam family: Bacterial small subunit ribosomal RNA
Source: RNAcentral
GCGGCGGAGCAAGCGGAUUAAUUUGAUGCAACGUAAGAACCUUACCAAGGCUUGACAUGGACCGGAUCGCUGCAGAGAUGUAGUUUCCCUUCGGGGCUGGUUCACAGGUGGUGCAUGGUUGUCGUCAGCUCGUGUCGUGAGAUGUUGGGUUAAGUCCCGCAACGAGCGCAACCCUUGUCCUAUGUUGCCAGCACGUGAUGGUGGGGACUCAUGGGAGACUGCCGGGGUCAACUCGGAGGAAGGUGGGGAUGACGUCAAAUCAUCAUGCCCUUUAUGUCUUGGGCUUCACGCAUGAUACAAUGGCCGGUACAGUGGGUUGGGAUACUGUGAGGUGGAGCUAAUCCAUAAAAGAAAAUCUCUGUUAGGUUGGAAGUCAGUAACUAAAUUUCGUGAAGGAGGAGGGGAUAGUAAUUACUGAUCAACAAGGAUGCGGUGAAGACGAUCCCGCCCGUCGUACACCCCACCGCCCAAGUCACCAAAGUAGGUAACACCCCAAGCUCACGGCCCAAACCGUAUGGGAGCGAGUGUCGAACGGUGAUU